This 895-nucleotide ribosomal RNA is filed under the name uncultured bacterium. RNAcentral describes it as "partial 16S ribosomal RNA". It matches the Rfam family "Bacterial small subunit ribosomal RNA", at positions 371 to 1254 of the family's 1533-position model. The record is from RNAcentral.
UUANGGCGAANCCCUGAUCCAGCCAUGCCGCGNUGAGUGAAGAAGGCCUUCGGGUUGUAAAGCUCUUUCAGGUGGAAAGAAAACGCAUAGGUUAAUACCUUGUGCGGAUGACGGUACCAUCAGAAGAAGCACCGGCUAACUACGUGCCAGCAGCCGCGGUAAUACGUANGGUGCGAGCGUUAAUCGGAAUUACUGGGCGUAAAGCGUGCGCAGGCGGUUAUGUAAGACAGAUGUGAAAUCCCCGGGCUCNACCUGGGAACUGCGUUUGUGACUGCAUAACUANAGUACGGCNNANGGANGUGGAAUUCCNCGUGUANCAGUGAAAUGCGUANAUAUGCGGAGGAACACCGAUGGCGAAGGCAGCCUCCUGGGCCANUACUGACGCUCAUGCACNAAAGCGUGGGGAGCAAACAGGAUUANAUACCCUGGUAGUCCACNCCCUAAACNAUGUCAACUANUUGUUCGGUGAGGAGACUCAUUGAGUAACGCANCUAACGCGUGAANUUGACCGCCUGGGGAGUACGGCCNCAAGGUUAAAACUCAAAGGAAUUGACGGGGACCCNCACAANCGGUGNAUGAUGUGGAUUAAUUCNAUGCAACGCNAAAAACCUUACCUACCCUUGACNUGCCAGGAACUUGCCAGAUAUGGCUUGNUGCUCGAAAGANAGCCUGGACACANGUGCUGCAUGGCUGUCNUCAGCUCGUGUCNUGAGAUGUUGGGUUAAGUCCCGCAACGAGCGCAACCCUUGUCGUUAAUUGCCAUCAUUAAGUUGGGCACUUUAGCNAGACUGCCGGUGACAAACCGGAAGGAAGGUGGGGAUGACNUCCAGUCCUCAUGNNCCUUAUGGGUANGGCUUCACACGUCAUACAAUGGUCGGUACAGAUGGUUGCCAAC